Portunus trituberculatus (swimming crab) is the source of this 1333-nucleotide long non-coding RNA. RefSeq lists it as uncharacterized. Lineage: Eukaryota; Metazoa; Arthropoda; Malacostraca; Decapoda; Portunidae. The transcript has 2 exons. The record is from RefSeq and is a predicted model, not a curated record.
AACACUAAUAUUAAACUUGAAGUAUUGGUCACCUCAGUACUGUCUCGUAACCAACAUUACUUACAUUCGUAUUAACAUUCUAUUUGUAACUGGGCAAAGUGCUUUUAAACUUUGUGCCUAUACAUUAUUCCACCAGUGUAUUAAGAAGAGACUUCAAAACAUCACGAAAUAGGAAAAUUUUAGCAGCGUCCCACCAAGGUUAAUGUUUGGUGGUGCAACGCAGAUAGCACGCCCACCUCACCUCAACAGGCUGGCUAGUCAUUGCACCACCUUUUGAAAACAGGUCUACCACUGCUUUAUUUCGAAGCACAACACGUCAUACUGCACACUCACUGUUUCAGUAUUAAUGGACACAAAGUGAGAACAAAGAUUAGCAAGAAAAUGACGUCAUUCAUCCUAUCACUUGCCCCAGUGUUGUGUUUCGGUGUCUGGCAAUGACCAGCAGUGACGCACCACGCUGUAUAAAGAUAACCUCAGCCUCGCUCAGAGUCAGUGGCACUCAGGCAGCAGAAGAGAAAGAGACAUGGGGCGUCUUCUCCUCUGCUGGGUGUCGGGGGCAGCCAUGGUGGCGGAACAGGACACGGGCGGACUUACUUUGUCCUGCCCCCGAUGACUGAGAUUCGUCCACUCACCGGGGGCAGGACCAUUUUUCUUGCCCCGGACUGACUCUUCUCACCGACGCAUGGCGAGGAAUCCUGGCCACACCCCCGCUGCGAGGCGGUCCGCAGUGUCUCCACAGAGCUGUGUAGCCACCAACACCAGGCAACCACCCAAACACACCACCACCGUCACCACAGCCCCGUCAACACGCAGCCCAUCACCACUACGACAACCACCACCUCUGUAUAUGGCCACGCCAUGGAACAAUACGGUGGUGACAGCGACUGCGUGGUGACGGAGGAUACAAGGAAAACUCUCUCUCUCUCUCUCUCUCUCUCUCUCUCUCUCUCUCUCUCUCUCUCAGCAGGGAUGGAGGCGCAGGAAUUCCUGACGGAAAAAGGAAACUCUGACCAAAGACUUUACCAUUAAGCAAUCCAUCCUAACCACUACGUACGUACACCACGCCCAUCAUUAACAAUCAUAAACUCUCUAUUAUCUUUGAAAUGUCUUAAAUUUCAUUACGUUUCUGUAUCUCAAUUCUGUGACGAAAAUCACUGAAUGUUUCAUAUUGUGUGGUUUUACACACGUACAUCCAACAUGACUUGUUCUUGUUAGGAAACCAUUAUUGAUAUGUAGCAAUAACUCUGCACAUUUUGUAACCCUGCAGUCAGUGUGUUGAAUGGUGACCAUGUAUUGGUUUUGCACUGAACACAAAUAAAACUAUUUGUUACUA